UCCAUUGUAAACACAUGAGAUUGUCAGACAGUCAGCCAACAGGAGCAGAGACUGAAAUCCAGCCUGAGCUAUUGCUCUGAGCAUCAGUCCAGAAGAGGAAUACUUCUUUGUAAUUGUCUACCCAAAAGGGAGAUUCUUGGAUUUUAUGCAGAGAUGUCAUAUGAGGGUUGAUAAACUAUACGUCUUCAGAAGGCUAACCCAGGCUUUUUCACAUAGAAACUGAGUUCCAAAAACAGAUGAUCCAUACGCUGUAACUUGGAACUCAGCAAACCCUUUUCAACAUCAUGGCCUUUGAAGAUGCCAUUCGAUUGUUCGAUGAUGGAUAGGGGAAAGAUAUGUGUGAACAGACACGGGGGGAAAAAAAGUUUAUUUUUCCAACCCCAUUUGGACUUCAGAGCCAAAAACUACGUUUUAACUUGUGAGGG
RNAcentral lists this long non-coding RNA (425 nucleotides) under Bos indicus x Bos taurus (hybrid cattle). RNAcentral's name for it is "lncRNA (ENSBIXG00000016507.1)". The record is from RNAcentral. Lineage: Eukaryota; Metazoa; Chordata; Mammalia; Artiodactyla; Bovidae.